GGUCUUGUGGUGUAGUGGUUAUCACGUCUGCUUUACACGCAGAAGGUCGCGGGUUCGAACCCCGCCAGGACCU
RNAcentral lists this transfer RNA (73 nucleotides) under Capitella teleta. RNAcentral's name for it is "tRNA-Val for anticodon UAC". It matches the Rfam family "tRNA". Rfam says of the family: Transfer RNA (tRNA) molecules are approximately 80 nucleotides in length. Lineage: Eukaryota; Metazoa; Annelida; Polychaeta; Capitellidae. The record is from Rfam by way of RNAcentral.